RNAcentral lists this ribosomal RNA (253 nucleotides) under uncultured bacterium. Its description in RNAcentral is "partial 16S ribosomal RNA". It matches the Rfam family "Bacterial small subunit ribosomal RNA", at positions 524 to 776 of the family's 1533-position model. The record is from RNAcentral.
UACGGGGGGGGCAAGCGUUGUUCGGAAUUACUGGGCGUAAAGGGUUCGUAGGUGGCUUGCUAAGUCAGACGUGAAAUCCCUCAGCUUAACUGGGGAACUGCGUGUGAGACUGGCAGGCUCGAGGGCAGGAGAGGAACGCGGAAUUCCAGGUGUAGCGGUGAAAUGCGUAGAUAUCUGGAGGAACACCGGUGGCGAAGGCGGCAUUCUGGACCGACAUUGACGCUGAGGAGCGAAAGCCAGGGGAGCAAACGGG